CCUACGGGAGACAGCAGUGAGGAAUAUUGGUCAAUGGGCGCGAGCCUGAACCAGCCAAGUCGCGUGAGGGAUGACGGUCCUACGGAUUGUAAACCUCUUUUGCCGGGGAGCAAGCGUGCGUUCGUGAACGCGCGUCGAGAGUACCCGGAGAAAAAGCAUCGGCUAACUCCGUGCCAGCAGCCGCGGUAAUACGGAGGAUGCGAGCGUUAUCCGGAUUUAUUGGGUUUAACGGGUGCGUAGGCGGGAUGCCAAGUCAGCGGUAAAAAUGCGGUGCUCAACGCCGUCGAGCCGUUGAAACUGGGGAUCUAGAGUGUGCGAGAGGUAUGCGGAAUGCGUGGUGUAGCGGUGAAAUGCAUAGAUAUCACGCAGAACCCCGAUUGCGAAGGCAGCAUACCGGUGCACAACUGACGCUCAGGCACGAAAGCGUGGGUAUCGAACAGGAUUAGAUACCCUUGUAGUC
Molecule: ribosomal RNA, 460 nt
Filed under: uncultured bacterium
Lineage: Bacteria
Description: partial 16S ribosomal RNA
Rfam family: Bacterial small subunit ribosomal RNA
Source: RNAcentral